This is a long non-coding RNA of Arabidopsis thaliana (thale cress), 435 nucleotides long. RefSeq annotates it as other RNA. The transcript has a single exon. Lineage: Eukaryota; Viridiplantae; Streptophyta; Magnoliopsida; Brassicales; Brassicaceae. The record is from RefSeq.
CUUGCCAACAUUCAGAGAUGAUAGAUUCAGAGCUGAACAAAGUGAAGACUCAAUUCAAUUGUGAAUGCUGCUUAAAAUUCACAAUCAGAAUAGUAGCAACGUCAAUUAUACAAAACCACAUAUGCUAACGCAAAAUCUUCACCUCAAAGUUCACAUUUCUCGAAGAACGUCGGGAGAAUUAGACGACGAAACCUAGUUUUUAGCCAAUUUUCAAAAUAGUGGAACAAGAGUGAAGACUGAAUCAGAUCUAAAACCAUUGAAAUCGAAUCACCAUUUCUAAAUUCCUGAAUCUACAAAAUCCGUAGAAACCAAAUCUCCAAAAAUUGAGGAUAAAAACACCAUAAUUCGAAGCAUGAUCGAGGAAUCAAAACAUAGGAAUCUACGAUCUAACUUCGUCUAAGACAUCAGAGAAACGAAAUCAAAGCGAUCUGGAGG